UCCAGUGUAGCAUAGUGGUUUGAGUGUUGGACUAUGACUCUGGAGACCAGGGUUUGAUCCCCCACUCAGCAA
RNAcentral lists this transfer RNA (72 nucleotides) under Phrynosoma platyrhinos (Desert horned lizard). RNAcentral describes it as "tRNA-OTHER". Lineage: Eukaryota; Metazoa; Chordata; Lepidosauria; Squamata; Phrynosomatidae. The record is from RNAcentral.